Molecule: ribosomal RNA, 460 nt
Filed under: uncultured bacterium
Lineage: Bacteria
Description: partial 16S ribosomal RNA
Rfam family: Bacterial small subunit ribosomal RNA
Source: RNAcentral
CCUACGGGGGGCAGCAGUGAGGAAUAUUGGUCAAUGGACGAGAGUCUGAACCAGCCAAGUAGCGUGAAGGAUGACUGCCCUAUGGGUUGUAAACUUCUUUUAUAUGGGAAUAAAAUGUUCCACGUGUGGGAUUUUGUAUGUACCAUAUGAAUAAGGAUCGGCUAACUCCGUGCCAGCAGCCGCGGUAAUACGGAGGAUCCGAGCGUUAUCCGGAUUUAUUGGGUUUAAAGGGAGCGUAGGUGGAUUGUUAAGUCAGUUGUGAAAGUUUGCGGCUCAACCGUAAAAUUGCAGUUGAAACUGGCAGUCUUGAGUACAGUAGAGGUGGGCGGAAUUCGUGGUGUAGCGGUGAAAUGCUUAGAUAUCACGAAGAACUCCGAUUGCGAAGGCAGUUCACUGGACUGCAACUGACACUCAGGCUCGAAAGUGUGGGUAUCAAACAGGAUUAGAUACCCUAGUAGUC